UAGAGGUAGCAAGAGGAGAAGGAAAGUCGCGUGUAGCGCUUAUUGAUACUGUUAAUNUUCUUUCAUUAUCGCUGGGCUCCGCUCAGCUGUAUCGCUNUCAUUCAGUAUUUCUCAAUUUCUUUUCAUUAGAACUUUUAACCACACUAAAAGAAUGUAAAGAGAUANUACAAUAGAAGGAAGAGAAAAAGGAACAAUACAAAUGCAUACAGAUAAAACUAAAUCGUGUAAAAAUGGAGAAUAAUAUAGUGAGGUGGGGGGCGCCUAUUUUAAUACUAUACACAGCCAUAAAUAAUGCUACUAGUACCUAUAUAUACAUACUAUAAAUUUAGCUACUUAAUAUCAUGUCUAAUAAAUACAUAUACUUUCUACAAGGCGUACAUCUAAAUCCACAUACAUCAAACACUUAUACUAAUGAGUGAUCUAGACGAGUUACUCUACUACUAUGCUUUAAUUUAAGAUGGUCUAUUAAUGUUUAGAUAUUGAAAGUUAUAUGAAUGUGUAGAAUAUCUUUGCAUUACACGAUAUCGUAUACUUUAUUAACCUGCAUCUCAUACAGUUAAACUAAACUAACAUACUCUACUAGUUCACAAACCAGUGAUCACUUAAAAAAGGGUGUACGAGGACUUCUUUACGUCUAAUUAAGAUGAAUAGUUAUUGUUUGAUAUACGCUAAAUAUCAUGCCCUUUCCUAUACUGAAUAUUAUACACUUCCUUAAACUUCACCUCUCAUGAUAUAUAAAACGCUUUCCAAUUGAAUCCCUACGAACUAGUCCUAACAUAAUUGUAAUAACCCCUCCACUCUUAAAAAAACAUAAUAUAAUAAGAUGUAAAAAUAUAAUACAUAAUUUGCCUGCUAAUAAAUUUAACUAGAGUAGUAGGAACGAAAACAUGACACUCGCAGUCUCACAGCAGGUCGUCACGGCUAUCCUAUAUAUAAGCAUCAUAUGAUUUGUAUUCUACUAAAUAGUAUAAUAAAACU
RNAcentral lists this ribosomal RNA (978 nucleotides) under uncultured bacterium. RNAcentral describes it as "partial 16S ribosomal RNA". The record is from RNAcentral.